AAAAUGAUACGGAACAUGAAAGAUCAGUAUGAAGUUCAGUAUUGCAUCGAUAUUACCAAGAAUGUGAUUUGUAUUUGCACGGCGAAAUCCAAACUUAACCUCUUAGUUAUAGCUUCAAACACACUGUGCGCUAAUGAAACUCUUAAGGUGGACUCAAACACACUAAAAUAACUUGAUACCUUUUGUUCCAUCACCGUCUCUUUUAUAGCUUAUUUAAUUUGAAAUUUGAUCAGUACCAACAAUCUACCUCUUCUCCUUGCUCUUCGGGUAAAUUCCACUUCUUUGGCGGACCAGAGGCCCUUNNNNNNNNNNACCCGGCUCUACAUGAAACCAUUUUGUAGCAUAUAUGAAUUUGUUAAAACAGAAAAUUUCUUUCAAAUGUGUAGUAGCACUCAAAAACUACUAAAUCUUAACAGCAAUAUCUUAUAUGUACAGUGAAAUUCGCUGUUUCAGAACCUAUACAGCUUCAAAAGAUGCCGUUUAAUGUGUCAAAAUGAUACGGAACAUGAAAGAUCAGUAUGAAGUUCAGUAUUGCAUCAAUAUUACCAAGAAUGUGAUUUGUAUUUGCACGGCGAAAUCCAAACUUAACCUCUUGGUUAUAGCUUCAAACACACUGUGCGCUAAUGAAACUCUUAAGGUGGACUCAAACACACUAAAAUAACUAGAUACCUUUUGUUCCAUCACCGUCUCUUUUAUAGCUUAUUUAAUUUGAAAUUUGAUCAGUACCAACAAUCUACCUCUUCUCCUUGUUCUUCGGGUAAAUUCCACUUCUUUGGCGG
RNAcentral lists this long non-coding RNA (779 nucleotides) under Trifolium pratense (red clover). RNAcentral describes it as "long non-coding RNA (TPRA_LNC001655)". The record is from RNAcentral. Lineage: Eukaryota; Viridiplantae; Streptophyta; Magnoliopsida; Fabales; Fabaceae.